UGUAUAUGUAUAUGUAUGUGUGUGUGCAUAUAUAUCUAUAUAUUCCUGUGUGUGUACACACACAUAUAUACACAUAUAUA
This 80-nucleotide microRNA precursor is filed under the name Podarcis lilfordi (Lilford's wall lizard). The record is from RNAcentral. Lineage: Eukaryota; Metazoa; Chordata; Lepidosauria; Squamata; Lacertidae.